Dama dama (fallow deer) is the source of this 564-nucleotide non-coding RNA. NCBI's taxonomy places the organism in Eukaryota, Metazoa, Chordata, Mammalia, Artiodactyla, Cervidae. The record is from the annotation of a RefSeq genome assembly.
AGGCCGCGUCCCGGGAGGGUCCCCACCAUGGCCUGGACAGUGCUUCUGCUCGGGCUGCUGGCUUACGGCUCAGAGGUGGAUGCUCAGACUGUGGUCCAGGAGCCAGCACUGUCAGUGUCUCCAGGAGGGACGGUCACCCUGACCUGUGGCCUCAGUUCUGGGUCAGUCACUACCAGUAACUACCCCAGCUGGUUCCAGCAGACCCCAGGCCAGGCUCCCAGAACUGUUAUCUACAGCACAAACAGCCACCCCUCCAGAAUCCUUGCUUGCUUCUCUGGCUCCAUCUCUGGAAACAAAGCCGCUCUCACCAUCACCGGGGCCCAGCCUGAGGACGAGGCUGUCUAUUACUGUGGUCUGGGUAGUAGUAGUUACAAUGCCAUAGUGAUGCAACCUCAUGGGGAAGCACUACCAAAACCUGCCGUUUUGCUCAGAGGGCUCAGCGCUUUGAGGCGGGAGAGGCAGAGAGAGGGCGGAAAUGCUCAGCAGCCCGUGGGGAGGGGGCUCUGGGGUCCCAUCUCCUUCCAGCGUUUCAUGGCCCUGCGCCUGCUCCUGUCUCUCCUCUGA